GAUGAACGCUGGCGGCGUGCCUAAUACAUGCAAGUCGAGCGAACGGACGAGAAGCUUGCUUCUCUGAUGUUAGCGGCGGACGGGUGAGUAACACGUGGAUAACCUACCUAUAAGACUGGGGUAACUUCGGGAAACCGGAGCUAAUACCGGAUAAUAUUUUGAACCGCAUGGUUCAAAAGUGAAAGACGGUCUUGCUGUCACUUAUAGAUGGAUCCGCGCUGCAUUAGCUAGUUGGUAAGGUAACGGCUUACCAAGGCAACGAUGCAUAGCCGACCUGAGAGGGUUAUCGGCCACACUGGAACUGAGACACGGUCCAGACUCCUACGGGAGGCAGCAGUAGGGAAUCUUCCGCAAAGGGCGAAAGCCUGACGGAGCAACGCCGCGUGAGUGAUGAAGGUCUUCGGAUCGUAAAACUCUGUUAUUAGGGAAGAACAUAUGUGUAAGUAACUGUGCACAUCUUGACGGUACCUAAUCAGAAAGCCACGGCUAACUACGUG
Molecule: ribosomal RNA, 497 nt
Filed under: uncultured bacterium
Lineage: Bacteria
Description: partial 16S ribosomal RNA
Rfam family: Bacterial small subunit ribosomal RNA
Source: RNAcentral